RNAcentral lists this small nuclear RNA (19 nucleotides) under Arabidopsis thaliana (thale cress). RNAcentral describes it as "snRNA_17846". Lineage: Eukaryota; Viridiplantae; Streptophyta; Magnoliopsida; Brassicales; Brassicaceae. The record is from RNAcentral.
UCCGCGUGUUGUUUCGGUA